UUGCUGUCACCAUGUAAGAAGAGCCUUUCGCCUCCUGCCAUGAUUCUGAGGCCUCCCCAGCCAUGUGGAACUGUACCCUGAGCCACUAUCUAAAUUGUCUGCUUACCUUAUGAAGACACCAUAAGGAGGUAUAACGUGUGGUGAGCACAGGUGAAGAGCUAGAGGCCUGAAACUAGAUGGGGAGGGAGAAGCCAGCCAUGCCUGCAUCCAGGGCUGCACUCAGCCUCCCAGCAUCUGUGCAGAGGCAUCAGUCAAGCCACAGCUAACUGCAGUCCCAGCUAACAUUAUGUGGAACAUCCCAGUCAUCCCAGAUCAUCCCAGUCAACCAAGAUCAUAAAAUUGUUUUCAGCUAUUAAGUUUAAAUAUGUGAAAUAAGGAGAUAAAAAUACUGACUUGGACUCUGUCUGAAUGAAAGGAUUAGUAGAUUAGAUUAGUGAUUCUUAAAAGACUUUCUUGGAUGCAUAUAAGUGUCCACAAAAUAAGAGUAUGAUGGUUUCCAGGUACAAAUAAGAUGGAAAACUAUUUUGUGAAUCAGAAUUAAAUUGGUUUAUUUACUGUAGAACUUCUAAGAGGCUUUAACAUGUACAUUUAAUUAUCAUAAGCCUUAUGAAAACUCCAGGAGGACAGAAGAGUUGCCUGUGACUUUUUUUAAAGUGUUUAUUCACAUCCCAAGGAAGGAUUCCCAGAAGAGAUGAUGCCUAAGCAGUGUCCCAACCAUGAAAUAAAGUCUCCUAGCUACUGGACAAGAUCAUCUCGAAGCUUAUUUCCAGCUCCAAAUGUUAUUAUUUUCCUCAAACCCAUUAUAAAAUGGCCUCUCUUAGCACUAUGAGAUCUGUAAUACAAGAAGUAGAACAAACACAUGAAGUUCCUGUUGGAAAUUCAAACUUCUCAUACAGCCUUCACUGAGUUCUACUCAUUAUGGAUAAAGGCUUCUGCUUUGAGUCACCUAAGUACUUUUGACCCCCAACUUAAUCAAUGCCUUGAAGUGAAAAUACAGUGUCAGGCAGUCCCUAUUCAUGACACAAACAAACCAACCAACUCAUAUCAUGACUUAAUGGUGUGAGACCUCAGUAAAAACUUUAUAUGAACUAAA
RNAcentral lists this long non-coding RNA (1093 nucleotides) under Homo sapiens (human). RNAcentral describes it as "long intergenic non-protein coding RNA 1277". The record is from RNAcentral. Lineage: Eukaryota; Metazoa; Chordata; Mammalia; Primates; Hominidae.